RNAcentral lists this long non-coding RNA (583 nucleotides) under Homo sapiens (human). Its description in RNAcentral is "HSALNT0344874". The record is from RNAcentral. Lineage: Eukaryota; Metazoa; Chordata; Mammalia; Primates; Hominidae.
CUGCGAUGGGGGUCCUAAGAGCCAGGGAAGCAAGAGGGGCUGCGGGAGACAGCGGCUGUCCUCCAUCUAAAUUGCAAGAGGCUUUCCUCUUUGACUAAUCCACCUCGGCACAGACCCUUUACGGGUCUCAGGCUGGGGGCCAGUCAGGUCUUUAACAUCCCACGAGGCCAUAUUUCAGACUGUUACAUGGGGAGAAACCUUGGACAAUAACCUGCUUUCAAGGGCAGAGGUCCCUGUGGCUUUCCACGGUACAUUGCGCCCCUGGUUUAUUGAGACUAGAGAAUGGCAAUGACUUCUACCAAGUAUACUGCUCGUAAACAUUUGGUUAACAAGGCGCGUCCUGCACAGCCCUAGAUCCCUUAAACCUCGAUUUUAUACAACACAGGUUUUUGUGAGCUCCAAGUUGGGUCAAAGGAAGGGGCUGCGGCAAAGCUACAAAUGAUCAACAUCUCAGUAAAGCAAUUGUUUAAAGUACAGGUCUUUUUCAAAAUGGAGUCUCUUAUGUCUUCCCCUUCUACAUAGACACAGUGACAGUCUGAUCUCUCUUUCUUUACCCUACAUCCAAGGGCUUGAACAUUUCUUG